GAGUGAACGCUGGCGGCGUCGCCGUAAGUACGUGCAAGUCGAGCGAACGGGCGAGAAGCUUGCGUUCUCGUGAAGUGUUAGCGGCGGACGGGUGAGUAACACGUGGAUAACCUACCUAUAAGACUGGGAUAACUUCGGGAAACCGGAGCUAAUACCGGAUAAUAUUUUGAACCGCAUGGUUCAAAAGUGAAAGACGGUCUUGCUGUCACUUAUAGAUGGAUCCGCGCUGCAUUAGCUAGUUGGUAAGGUAACGGCUUACCAAGGCAACGAUGCAUAGCCGACCUGAGAGGGUGAUCGGCCACACUGGAACUGAGACACGGUCCAG
This 325-nucleotide ribosomal RNA is filed under the name uncultured bacterium. Its description in RNAcentral is "bacterial SSU rRNA". It matches the Rfam family "Bacterial small subunit ribosomal RNA", at positions 27 to 334 of the family's 1533-position model. The record is from RNAcentral.